UGGGGAAUCUUGCACAAUGGGGGCAACCCUGAUGCAGCGACGCCGCGUGAGCGAUGAAGCCCUUCGGGGCGUAAAGCUCUUUCGACCGGAACGAUAAUGACGGUACCGGGAGAAGAAGCUGCGGCUAACUACGUGCCAGCAGCCGCGGUAAUACGUAGGCAGCAAGCGUUGUUCGGAGUUACUGGGCGUAAAGAGUGCGUAGGCGGUUUUCUAAGUUCGGUGUGAAGUCUCCCGGCUUAACUGGGAGGGUGCGCCGAAGACUGGGACGCUGGAGUGUGGGAAAGGCAGGCGGAAUUCCUGGUGUAGCGGUGAAAUGCGUAGAUAUCAGGAGGAACACCGGCGGUGUAGACGGCUUGCUAGACCAUAACUGACGCUGAGGCACGAAAGCGUGGGUAGCAAACA
RNAcentral lists this ribosomal RNA (402 nucleotides) under uncultured bacterium. RNAcentral's name for it is "bacterial SSU rRNA". It matches the Rfam family "Bacterial small subunit ribosomal RNA", at positions 355 to 774 of the family's 1533-position model. The record is from RNAcentral.